RNAcentral lists this small RNA (626 nucleotides) under Histoplasma capsulatum. RNAcentral describes it as "hypothetical RNA". Lineage: Eukaryota; Fungi; Ascomycota; Eurotiomycetes; Onygenales; Ajellomycetaceae. RNAcentral also lists the same sequence under 1 other name. The record is from RNAcentral.
CUCCUCCCUCCCAACCAACCGAGGUUAUACUCACCCAUAUUACGCCCUUCCUGGCCCUGCAACCCGCUUCCUUCGUACGAUAGAUAUCCGCGAGUUAUAGAUAUAUAAUGUAUAUAUAUAUAUAUAUAUCCAGUAAGAUCCCCGCAACACUAGUAGUAUCAACCACCCCGAUUCUGAUUCCAAACGGUGGCUAUGAAUGAUGAAUGAGGAAUGAUUCCAAAUCCUGCCUGCCGGUGGAGAUGGGUUGCUGUCGACGGGGAGCGAUGUCCACUCAGGGGCAUCCGGCAACUCAAUCUCGUGAUUUGUAUGCUGCAUCUGUAUCUAUAUCUAUAUCUAUACCUGUAAAUACGCUGAGUAGUGUGAAUUGUACGGAGUAGGUAUCAUGGGAUCGAUCCUCUUCCACAACACAAAGUGGAGCUGAGUGGGAAUGUUUGGAUGCAGAAAGUGGCUCUGAGCCCAGCUCCACGUGGUCAAUCCCAUCAAGCCAUAAGCCAUAAGCCAUCAGCCAUCAGCAAUUAUUUUGCCUGCCGGAAAAAAAAAAACCGUUGAUUCUUUCUUCGGGGGCGUAUAACACGCCACACCUCUUCAACUAUCAGUCAGGGCGUGCUGUACACGCUAGCCGAACA